ACUUACUUCAAUUACAUCCCAAAGAUUAUCAAAACCAAACUUUUUUAAAAAAAUUAUAAAUUCCUAAUUUAGUGGAGAAACUCUCAUGAAUAAUUGCAUCUCUGAUAUUAGUUUCCACCUCCAACUUUCCAAAAGUGUGCUCCAGAGUUAUUGACUAUUCUUUAUUUUAUCUUCUCCAUAAUCGGAAACUAAAAACACACUACAUAUAAAUUCAACAAAACCAAAAACCUCAAAUAAAAACCAAGCCAAGUAACAAGGAAAAAAGAAAGUGACAAAAGAAAAAAAGGAGAGAAAUAAUAUCAUUCACAAUAGUGCAAUCUACCAAAUUUCAUCAAGCAAAUAUCAGCAAAAAAAACGGAACUGACAAAAGAAGGAGAGAAAUAAUAUCGUUCAUAAUCAGUGCAAUCUACCAAGUUUCAUCAAGCAAAUAUCAACAAAAAAAGGCACUUGCAAGGUGAAUCAAGAAACAAGUUAAAAAGAUGCAAUGGGCUUAGUUAUAUAUGUUUCACCAAUGGAAUUAGUUGGAGGAAAUUCGUUUAAAAGAGAUUUGGCGAUAAUGGAUAAAACUUGGACGAUUAUAAAGUUAACCAUUUGGAAUGAAUUUGUGCACAUACUUGAAGAUUGAAAUCUUAACACCGAAGCUGAUUUUUGUCCAAUUCUUUUUGCGUGUGGUCUGCAUGUAAAGAGCUUUUGUGGCCGAAAAUAUCUUACAACAGGAUUUUACUCCAGGAUUUAUGUUAACAAAGUAGAUGACUUAACUACUUCCUUAUCAACAUGGUAUGAAUCUGAUAAAUUAGCGAAAAAAAGGGUUGCAUGUUUUCGAUUCAAGUCCUUUCUCCUUACAAUCAUCCAUUGAUAUUUCAAAUGCUCCUCGGAUUCGAUUACCUACCUUCCAUGCAGUGAGAAAAGUACACUAUUGUCGAUUUAUUGCCAAUGCGUGUCAUCUUGACCAUGUUGACAAUAUCAUAUAUGAAGCAUGUCAUCGUUGCCUCAAAAAGGUUAACAUUUUCCAAGGAGAUCCCACAUGUGAGUCUUGCGAUAUUACAAAUGUUGUAACCACUCCAAGGUAUAAUUUUCGAUCUCAUAUGAUCACGAUCAUCAAGCAACCAUUAUUUAUUUAACCUGAUAAACUUUUAUCUUAUUCUAUUAACUGUUUGUUAGUUGGACUAACAAUAUGUGAUAGAAGCGGUACUUUCAAAAUAACAAUGCUUCAUGAUCUUGCACAACUCAUUUUGGGAAGCCCAACUACGGACAUAAAAUUAAUACUUCAACAGCCAAAUGGACGCAAACGAGUCAUGGAGAUAUUAUUCUCAAAACUUGGAUACAAAACCUUCGCUUGGAUCUUACCUCCACCAAUGCAAGAAUUGGAUCCGGAUCAUUCUUAUACAGUUAGCUAUAUGCUGUAGGUUGAAUGGGAUGAAGAGUGCAUGGGGUUAACCAAGUUCUAUGAAGGCAUUUUCCAUAGUUGAAACACCAGAGAUUUCAUUUACUAUCUUUGUUAUUAUAUUGUUACAUUGUGAAUAUUUUUUUCCUCGGUAAAUUUUGUAAAUAAUUUUUCUAUGAAUUAGUAUUAUAUGUAAUUACACAACUAAUUUGAUUCAAAUAACGAUUUCAGUCGCAUAUACAUAAACGACUAAUUA
Beta vulgaris subsp. vulgaris (sugar beet) is the source of this 1640-nucleotide long non-coding RNA. RefSeq lists it as uncharacterized. The transcript is spliced from 9 exons. NCBI's taxonomy places the organism in Eukaryota, Viridiplantae, Streptophyta, Magnoliopsida, Caryophyllales, Amaranthaceae. The record is from RefSeq and is a predicted model, not a curated record.